This is an RNA transcript of Manihot esculenta (cassava), 2103 nucleotides long. It is a transcript of the gene named adenylosuccinate lyase-like, with no coding region annotated. The record is from RefSeq and is a predicted model, not a curated record. Lineage: Eukaryota; Viridiplantae; Streptophyta; Magnoliopsida; Malpighiales; Euphorbiaceae. The transcript has 10 exons.
UAGGUUCUCAUCGGAGAAGAGCGAGGAAGUGAAUAGACCGGGAAGCACCAACACUCCACACUUGAGCUUCGGCUCUAGUCUGUACUCUUCUGCUCUGCUCUUUUGCUUGUUCAUGGAGUUUACGGCUGCUGCUUCUUCUUUGUCUUCUAGGGUUUUAAAUAGCACUACCCAGUUCUCAUGUUUUACAGCACCCAGACUUCAAAAAUCAAGCUUUUAUAUUCCUUCUAAUUCUUCACUUCAUUUCUCUGCACCAUUUUUUGGCGGAGAUUUCUCUUGCAGAUGCACUAUCAAAGACACCGUUACUUCUAUCCCUAAGAUGGCUACGCAUGAUUUUGAACUUUCGAAUUUGACGGCGCUGUCGCCUUUGGACGGUCGGUAUUGGGGUAAAGUGAAGGACUUGUCGCCUUACUUGAGUGAAUACGGGCUAAUUUAUUUUCGGGUUCUGGUUGAGGUUAAAUGGUUGCUGAAACUAUCACAAAUUCCUGAAGUCUCUGAGGUUCCCAAUUUUAGUGAAGAAGCUCAAAUUUAUUUGCAAGGAUUGAUCGAUGGGUUUAACAUGGAUGACGCCCUGGAGGUUAAAAAUAUUGAGAAAGUGACAAACCAUGAUGUAAAAGCAGUGGAAUACUUUUUGAAAAGGAAAUGCCAAUCACAUCCAGAGAUUGCUAAGGUGCUUGAAUUUUUCCAUUUUGCUUGCACUUCUGAGGAUAUCAACAAUCUGGCCCAUGCAUUAAUGCUUAAAGAAUAAAUGAACGAGGUCAUCUUUCCUGUAAUGGAUGAAUUGAUCACAGAAAUUUGCAACAUGGCUGAAGAUAAUGCUUCCACUCCAAUGCUUUCCCGCACUCAUGGACAGCCAGCUUCUCCUACAACUUUGGGAAAGGAAAUGGCAGUUUUUUCUGCCAGGUUAAAUGAACAAAGGCAUGAAAUUUCUCAAGUUAAGAUAAAGGGGAAGUUUGCUGGUGCAGUUGGAAAUUACAAUGCACACCUUGUUGCAUACCCUGGUGUCAAUUGGCCUCUAAUUGCCAAAGAAUUUGUGGAAUCUCUGGGAUUGUGUUUUAAUCCCUAUGUCACUCAGAUUGAACCACAUGAUUAUAUGGCAAGACUUUUUCAUGCCAUUAUGAUAUUUAACACUGCAUUAAUUGAUUUUGAUAGAGAUAUAUGGGGCUAUAUAUCCUUAGCAUACUUUAAGCAGAUAACUAAGGCUGGUGAAAUUGGGUCCUCAACAAUGCCUCACAAAGUAAAUCCUAUUGAUUUUGAAAAUAGUGAAGGUAAUCUUGGUAAAGCCAAUGGAGGUUUAUCUCAUCUCAGUGAGAAGUUACCUAUUUCUCGUUGGCAACGUGACUUGACUGACUCAACUGUUUUGAGGAAUAUGGGUGAGGGCUUGGGACAUUCUCUUCUUGCCUACAAAAGUGCAUUGCAGGGAAUAAGGAAGCUUCAGGUAAAUGAAAGUCGCUUGAGUGAAGACCAUGGGAAGUACUUGCUGAACCAAUACAGACAGUUAUGCGUCGAUAUGGCGUUCCUGAGCCUUAUGAGAAGCUAAAAGAGUUAACCAGGGGAAGAGCUGUUACUAAAGAAAGUAUAAGAGAAUUCAUUGAAGGCUUGGCAUUGCCAAAAGAAACAAAAUCCUACCUUUUGCAGUUGACACCCCAUACCUAUGUUGGAGCAGCUAUUGAAUUGGGUAAAUCUGUGAAUGCCACUAUGAAUUUAGUAAAUGGGGUGAGAGCUUUAUAACCUGAUGGCUGAAAGUUUCCAAAGAUAAUAACCACAUUGUAUGAUGGCCAGGUAGAAAAGGAUGCUAGAUUUCUUGCAUAAAGGAAGUUUUUUUGCCAUUGAAAAGGGGAUUAUUAUCUCGUUAUAUGCAACCCCACUGAGAACUAUUAACCUCUCAUAUAUUGUCUUGGUCCUGUAAGGGAGUAAUUGAGGGAGUUUUACCUUUCAACCCUUCCUAAUAGCAUCUAGGACUCAAACUGGUCGUUUCUCGUUGCAGCACCUAGAUUCUUGCUGUUGUAUUAAACAGCGACCCUCAGGAGAACGAGGGCUGAAAUUUUGUAAAUGAUAGUUUAUCCUCUUGAGCUUAUAUUCAAUUCUUUGAUUCAAUUUUCAGUA